UUUUGUGGCCAAAUGUCCUUCAUCAAAUCCUGACCUCGUCAGGUCUUAGAAGCUAAGCAGGGCCGGGCCUGGUUCAUACUUGAACGGGAGGCCAGUGGGAGGACCAGAUGGGACGCCAGUGGCAAAAC
This 128-nucleotide ribosomal RNA is filed under the name Periophthalmus magnuspinnatus. The record is from RNAcentral. Lineage: Eukaryota; Metazoa; Chordata; Actinopteri; Gobiiformes; Gobiidae.